RNAcentral lists this ribosomal RNA (492 nucleotides) under uncultured bacterium. RNAcentral's name for it is "partial 16S ribosomal RNA". It matches the Rfam family "Bacterial small subunit ribosomal RNA", at positions 29 to 507 of the family's 1533-position model. The record is from RNAcentral.
AGUGAACGCUGGCGGUAGGCCUAACACAUGCAAGUCGAACGGCAGCACAGUAAGAGCUUGCUCUUACGGGUGGCGAGUGGCGGACGGGUGAGGAAUACAUCGGAAUCUACUUUUUCGUGGGGGAUAACGUAGGGAAACUUACGCUAAUACCGCAUACGACCUACGGGUGAAAGCAGGGGAUCUUCGGACCUUGCGCGAUUGAAUGAGCCGAUGUCGGAUUAGCUAGUUGGCGGGGUAAAGGCCCACCAAGGCGACGAUCCGUAGCUGGUCUGAGAGGACGAUCAGCCACACUGGAACUGAGACACGGUCCAGACUCCUACGGGAGGCAGCAGUGGGGAAUAGUGGACAAUGGGCGCAAGCCUGAUCCAGCCAUACCGCGUGGGUGAAGAAGGCCUUCGGGUUGGAAAGCCCUUUUGUUGGGAAAGAAAAGCAGCAGGUUAAUACCCCGCUGUUCUGACGGUACCCAAAGAAUAAGCACCGGCUAACUUCGUG